GGCGGAGAAAGCACGUGGUCCUCCUGCAUUUUACUGUGACCUUCUUUAAGGCAGAUACAGGAUCCACCAGAAUGGCAAAGAGCUGACCAGCCCAGUGAUAAUCAUCAGCAGCCUUGAGCGUAGUCAGCUUCAAAAGAAGCUGUCUUGCAUACUCGUCUUGAAUCUCUUUUUACCGAGUGCUCCUCUGAUAUUUCUAUCUUGUGAGGCAGACGGCCUUCAAAAGUGUAAGUAAAUAAAUUCACCUUGUCUUGCGAAAACUGUUGUUCCCGCUCCCCCUCCCCUCCCCCUACUCUCUCUCUAUAUUUUCUCCACAGAAAAAUACGUGCAACAUGCUAUGAUUAUAGCAGAACACAAGU
Long non-coding RNA from Numida meleagris (helmeted guineafowl), 356 nucleotides. RefSeq lists it as uncharacterized. The record is from RefSeq and is a predicted model, not a curated record. The transcript has 3 exons. Lineage: Eukaryota; Metazoa; Chordata; Aves; Galliformes; Numididae.